Armigeres subalbatus is the source of this 963-nucleotide long non-coding RNA. RefSeq lists it as uncharacterized. The record is from RefSeq and is a predicted model, not a curated record. The transcript is spliced from 3 exons. Lineage: Eukaryota; Metazoa; Arthropoda; Insecta; Diptera; Culicidae.
UGAGUCGCCUUAACUCAAAAUAAUAACUUCUUGAGAGACAUCAAACUCUGAGUAACUGAGAAUUAUUAUUUUGAGUUGGUUUGACUCAUUCUGAAUAAAUCGAAGCAGAACUAGAAAAUGAGUUCACAGUGAAAAUUUCAAGAAGUUCAACGGUCACUGAUAGAAUUUCACCAUUAACAUCUUGAAACAACGACCCAAGCCUAUAGGCAACUGAAGCACAACUAUUUAGACAAGGAACAUAUAUUAUCUAUUUUACUAUUUUGGAUCUAUACAAUGGGACCUUCACUAGCCGUUCGCUAAGAUGCUCGCCUAUAACGAGGUCUACAGAGCAAGACGAUGCUGAAGGUGACCGGGUCCGAUCCUCGGUUCGGUCUAGGAAAUUUUCGGGUUAGUGAUUUUCUUGACUUCCCUGGGCAUAAAAGUACCAUCGUGUUAGCUUCAUACGAAUGCAAAAAUGGUAACUUGGCUUAGAAACGUCGCUGUUUAUAACUGUGGAAGUGCUUAAUAAAUACUAAGCAGCAAGGACAUUCACAGAUCACUCGAAAAAUGGAUGAAACAUUUCCGGGAUUUUGUCGUCGCCUUUGUACACUUCGUCAAAUGUCAGCAUCAGUGACCGCUAUUACGACAUCCAGCUAUAACAGCAGAUAUGAAGGAGGUUUGGGCAGAGGUCCACGAUUAGAUCCCUUACUAAUUUAUGCUUCUUGUGCCAAUGCUCUUUUCUUCUUGCCGCAUCAUUACCCUCGUCAUUACCAACGACCGCUCAACAACCAUUUUAGGAUCGUUGAAUUAUUUUAUUAUAUUUAGAAAGAAUUUAUUAUAUUUAGAAACUAUUGUAUUUAUUUCAAUUUAUAUUUGAUAAUAAAUGUACUCUGUUUCCGAAUUAAUUAUCUUUUAACUGAACAAGAUUGGUUUUCUCGAUUUGACAAACUCAAAAUCCUAUAUAUCAAAUUUUAUGAAUUUGAG